GUGUUAUAUAAAAGAAGUUAGCAUUCUCCUUAAAAAGGUUAAGAAGGGUCUAGUCACCUAAACAAAAGAUUAAUAGUUAAGGUAUUGUUACUUUCUUUGACAUCUAACCAUGUCCUCUG
Callithrix jacchus (white-tufted-ear marmoset) is the source of this 119-nucleotide small nuclear RNA. The record is from Ensembl. NCBI's taxonomy places the organism in Eukaryota, Metazoa, Chordata, Mammalia, Primates, Cebidae.